CGCGGCCUAUCAGCUUGUUGGUGGGGUAACGGCCUACCAAGGCAGCGACGGGUAGCUGGUUUGAGAGAACGAUCAGCCACACUGGGACUGAGACACGGCCCAGGCUCCUACGGGAGGCAGCAGUAGGGAAUCUUGCGCAAUGGGCGAAAGCCUGACGCAGCAACGCCGCGUGCGGGAUGACGGCCUUCGUGGUUGUAAACCGCUUUCAGCAGGGACGAAAUUGACGGUACCUGCAGAAGAAGCCCCGGCUAACUACGUGCCAGCAGCCGCGGUAAUACGUAGGGGGCGAGCGUUGUCCGGAAUCAUUGGGCGUAAAGAGCUCGUAGGCGGUUCAGUAAGUCGGGUGUGAAAGCUCCGAGCUCGACUCGGAGAGGCCACUCGAUACUGCUGUGACUAGAAUCCAGUAGGGGAGUGUGGAACUCCUGGUGUAGCGGUGAAAUGCGCAGAUAUCAGGAAGAACACCAGCGGCGAAGGCGGCACUCUGGGCUGGUAUUGACGCUGAGGAGCGAAAGUGUGGGUAGCAAACAGGAUUAGAUACCCUGGUAGUCCACACCGUAAACGUUGGGCACUAGGUGUGGGGAGGAUCAACCCUUUCCGUGCCGUAGCUAACGCAUUAAGUGCCCCGCCUGGGGAGUACGG
This 639-nucleotide ribosomal RNA is filed under the name uncultured bacterium. Its description in RNAcentral is "bacterial SSU rRNA". It matches the Rfam family "Bacterial small subunit ribosomal RNA", at positions 232 to 885 of the family's 1533-position model. The record is from RNAcentral.